UUUCUUGAAGCAGGAAUGGUCAUGAGGCAGGGAGAAUGAAUGCAGAGGCUAGGCAGAGGGUAUCCCCUGGGGGGAGUUAUUGGGGGGAAUGCUCAGGCACAAAAUGGUUUACAUAGAGUAAAUGUCUUCAAUCUUUCUAGGGUACUGUAUGGGCUGAGAAGUUUCUGCAGACCUCUCUUAGCAACUUCAAGCUGUUUGCAGUGAUUUUACCUUAUCUUACCUGUUAGUCAGCUUUUGCUACGGUAACAAACAUCUCCAAAUCCUAGCUGCUUGCAACAGCAAACGUGCACUUUCUUGCUCAGGACGCUGCAGGCUGGUAGUUGCAGCUCUGCUCCAGGUUGGGGGUUGAGUGCAGGUGUGCAUUGCAUGUCUCAUUCAGAGACCCAGGCAUGAGGGGUGGUGGCUCCCUGGGGUACACGUCCCAUGGCAGAUCCCAGGAGUGCAAGACACAAGGCCAAACCUCGUAAGCUCAUCAGAAGCCUGCACUCAAAUGUACCUUAUAGUGUGUCCACACACAUUCCAUUGACCAAAGCAAGUCAUAAAUAUAAUAGCAGCUCCACAUUAAUAGGCUUUUCCCAUGGAAAAGAGUUGAUUGAGUAGGGUGGGGAUUCUUGUGGAGGAGGGGGGACAGCUGUUGAACUUCAGUUCACCUGGGGGCCACCCUCACCCCACACAGCCUCUCCGGAGCAAGUUCUCAUUUGGAUGCCCGCUUGAGACUCCAGAUGCAAGUCAUCAUCCUGAGCCAUGGUUCCCUAAAUCCGCUUAGGGGAGAACAGAGAGGUUUAUUGAAUAUUGUGGGUUCAGGUGUUCUCUGCAUCACUGCAUCGAGAGAGUGCUUUUCCACGUUUGAUAAUCACCUUGUCGUGCACUGGACACAUGGGACGAGAGAUGAGAAGUUCUGAGAUAUGUGUCACAGAUAGGGAGUGAUCUUCACCGCAAACUCUAUGGCAGCCUUGAGAAGAACGAGGCUUGGCUAUUGCUUUUAACAAAAUCCUGGAUCAGUGCAGAAAUAGGUUUCCCGUGCUUUCGUGCCUUACAUGAGAGAGGCACCAAAAGGAAUUGGAAUAUGGUUGGGAAGGGGGCGUGCAUGCACCCCAGACUGACUUCUUCCUCCCCAGGUGGCCCAGUACAUAAAGUUUGAGAUGCCCGUCCUAAAAAGCUUCAUCCAGAAGCUCCAAGAGGAAGAAGAUCGGGAAGUGAAGAAGCUGAUGCGCAAGUACACAGUGCUCCGGCUAAUGAUCCGGCAGAGGCUGGAGGAGAUGGCCGAGACCCCAGCAACAAUCUGAGCCACAUGAGGGAGGGGAUCCAGACACCACAGGGGCCGCCGCUGACACGAGAAGACGCACAGGAAGCUGGGCACCUUCCUUCCAUGGAAACGUGUACAUAUAGACCUCUCCAGCUCCCGCCGAGAGCCACCAUCUAUUGCCCGGAGCAGAAUGGAGAAGGCCACAGACAACUCCCCAUCCCUGGAUCCCCAUGCUCCACUCCUUUCUUUUACUCACAAGGACUUUUAAAUUUUGUUAUGAGGACCCAAAAUGUGUGUGUGUGCACGCACAUGAGCACAUGCAUGCACAUGUAAGCGUGUGUGCUCACAUGGUACGUAUCCACGUGCCUACCUGAUAUUCACAUGGAACUGAAUUCCGAGCCACCAGCACCAGCACCAUGGGGCUUGCAGGUGCGCUGCUCGAGGGCAGGAACAUCAGGGGAGUCGCCAAUCUGAGGGGUUGAAGUUGAUGUCUUCCCUCAAGGGCCAGGGAGCAGCCACACGUUUGGAAGGGAAGGGGACUCCGCAAGCUCUCCAUUUGGGGUAUUUAUAUAUUGGUGGAGAUUCUCCCUGUACAUCUAGAAGGACUGGGCAUUGGAAAUUAACAAACUAGCAGCCCCAUGCCCUUGGGGAAGGUCAGAUGGAAAGAAAAAGAUAAACCAUCUGUGGGGUAGAUGCAAUAAGCCCACAAGUUUUUACACUGGAAACUCUGUUUAAAAUAACAAAGACGUAUGUGAUGAUCUA
Non-coding RNA from Leptonychotes weddellii (Weddell seal), 2008 nucleotides. Lineage: Eukaryota; Metazoa; Chordata; Mammalia; Carnivora; Phocidae. The record is from RefSeq and is a predicted model, not a curated record.